Molecule: ribosomal RNA, 460 nt
Filed under: uncultured bacterium
Lineage: Bacteria
Description: partial 16S ribosomal RNA
Rfam family: Bacterial small subunit ribosomal RNA
Source: RNAcentral
CCUACGGGUGGCAGCAGUGAGGAAUAUUGGUCAAUGGGCGUAAGCCUGAACCAGCCAAGUCGCGUGAGGGAUGAAGGUUCUAUGGAUCGUAAACUUCUUUUAUCAGGGAGUAAAGUGUGGGACGUGUCCUGUUUUGUAUGUCCCUUAUGAAUAAGGCUCGGCUAACUCCGUGCCAGCAGCCGCGGUAAUACGGAGGAUCCGAGCGUUAUCCGGAUUUAUUGGGUUUAAAGGGUGCGUAGGCGGCCUUUUAAGUCAGCGGUGAAAGUCUGUGGCUCAACCAUAGAAUUGCCGUUGAAACUGGGAGUCUUGAGUAGGUUGGAGGCAGGCGGAAUGCGUGGUGGAGCGGUGAAAUGCGUAGAUAUCACGCAGAACCCCGAUGGCGAAGGCAGCCAGCCAAGCCAUGACUGACGCUGAGGCACGAAAGCGUGGGGAUCAAACAGGAUUAGAUACCCUAGUAGUC